AAGAGACAGCAGCAGCCGCGGGAAUACGAAGGGUGCAAGCGUUAAUCGGAAUUACUGGGCGUAAAGCGCGCGUAGGUGGUUCAUUAAGUUGGAUGUGAAAGCCCUGGGCUCAACCUGGGAACUGCAUCCAAAACUGGUGAGCUAGAGUACGGUAGAGGGUAGUGGAAUUUCCGGUGUAGCAGUGAAAUGCGUAGAGAUCGGAAGGAACAUCUGUGGCGAAGGCGACUAUCUGGGCCAACACUGACACUGAGGCACGAAAGCGUGGGGAGCAAACAGGAUUAGAUACCCGCGUAGUCCCUGUAUCUUAUAC
This 310-nucleotide ribosomal RNA is filed under the name uncultured bacterium. Its description in RNAcentral is "partial 16S ribosomal RNA". It matches the Rfam family "Bacterial small subunit ribosomal RNA", at positions 503 to 807 of the family's 1533-position model. The record is from RNAcentral.